Molecule: ribosomal RNA, 263 nt
Filed under: uncultured bacterium
Lineage: Bacteria
Description: partial 16S ribosomal RNA
Rfam family: Bacterial small subunit ribosomal RNA
Source: RNAcentral
CGGACCGGCGGACGGGUGCGUAACGCGUAUGCAACCUGCCUGACACAGGGGGAUAAUCCGAAGAAAUUUGGUCUAAUACCCCAUAAUACCGAUAUAGGCAUCUAUGUUGGUUGAAAGCUUUGGUGGUGUCAGAUGGGCAUGCGUUGUAUUAGCUAGUUGGUGAGGUAACGGCUCACCAAGGCGACGAUACAUAGGGGGACUGAGAGGUUAACCCCCCACACUGGUACUGAGACACGGUCCAAACUCCUACGGGAGGCAGCAUG